CUGAUGAAAGGGGCGGUGGCAGCUUGAAGCUGGUGGGAGGAACUGGCCGCAGGCUGAGGAGGGCUCGCCCAGCUGCGGGAAAUGCUCUGGUUGACCUUGGCUUUCUGUGCACCGAGCUGGGUCUCGACCCAACGUUGGAGCCGAGGCGUCCCGGGGCUGAGCGACCCUGGGUGCGGGUGCUCCGGCUGCUGCUGCGGUUCCUGCUGUGCUCGGCUGGGCGGCGGCUGAUACCAGCGCCCACCAGAAGUGCAGGAGCCAUCCCGCAGGCGGGAGGAGGUGCUAGCUAGCCAUGGUCCCCGAAAACCAGGCUCUGCUGACAAAUCUCAGACGCCAGAAACAGAAGAACCCAGAGAAACUGCCCGAGAAACUUGUGCCAAACGGAUGGACUGUUGGAGGAGCUGAGGGUGAAGCUGCGGUAACUCCUCAAACUGGAACAGCAAAGUCAGCACCAGAAAUAGACAAGAAAAAUAAAAUUUCAAAGAAAAUUAGAAGAAAUCAAAGGCAGAUGCUAAAGCAGCAAAAAACCCUCCACAGUACAACAGAAAUGGAGUUGAUGAAGGAGUCUGAGAAAUGAAUCUUAGUCACUGAGAGAAAGGACAGCAGUGAACACGGUCAGGUGCUGAUGAUUCUGGUCCACUGGAUCCCACCAUCCCUGGGAGAGUAAAUACCAUCCCAGUCAUCACCCAGCAAGUUACCACCGCAGCAUUUCCCAUGUGUUCCAAAAUGAAUAAAGGUGAUUCUCAUCACAAGUGCAAAUAAAAAGUCAUUUAUCAUGUUUUUAAUC
Molecule: long non-coding RNA, 784 nt
Filed under: Homo sapiens (human)
Lineage: Eukaryota; Metazoa; Chordata; Mammalia; Primates; Hominidae
Description: non-protein coding lnc-ZNF117-2:1
Source: RNAcentral